GACCCAAACCUUCACGCUAGACUGCUGGAAGAUAGCAGCUCUCCAGACCGCCUUUCUGAUGCAACUGUCACCACCACGGCAGAGCCAAGACAGGUGCCAGUAGCUAAUACAGCAGUCCUGCCCCAAUCCCAGGCACAGGGACGUGUUGCUGCUCCAG
This is a non-coding RNA of Camelina sativa (false flax), 157 nucleotides long. The record is from RefSeq and is a predicted model, not a curated record. Lineage: Eukaryota; Viridiplantae; Streptophyta; Magnoliopsida; Brassicales; Brassicaceae.